This 253-nucleotide ribosomal RNA is filed under the name uncultured bacterium. RNAcentral's name for it is "partial 16S ribosomal RNA". It matches the Rfam family "Bacterial small subunit ribosomal RNA", at positions 524 to 776 of the family's 1533-position model. The record is from RNAcentral.
UACGGAGGGUGCAAGCGUUGUCCGGAAUCACUGGGCGUAAAGGGCGCGUAGGAGGCUCAUGAAGGCUGUGGUGAAAGUCCGGGGCUCAACCUCGGAUCGGCCGUGGCGACUCGUGGGCUGGAGCACUGUAGAGGCGGGUGGAAUUCCGGGUGUAGCGGUGGAAUGCGUAGAGAUCCGGAAGAACACCAGUGGCGAAGGCGGCCCGCUGGGCAGUAGCUGACACUGAGGCGCGACAGCGUGGGGAGCAAACAGG